Molecule: ribosomal RNA, 870 nt
Filed under: Hymenochaete rubiginosa
Lineage: Eukaryota; Fungi; Basidiomycota; Agaricomycetes; Hymenochaetales; Hymenochaetaceae
Description: eukaryotic LSU rRNA
Rfam family: Eukaryotic large subunit ribosomal RNA
Source: RNAcentral
UAACAAGGAUUCCCCUAGUAACUGCGAGUGAACCGGGAUGAGCUCAAAUUUAAAAUCUGACGGUUCUGCCGUCCGAGUUGUAAUCUGGAGAAGCGUUUUCCGCGUCGGACCGUGUACAAGUCUCUUGGAAUAGUGCGUCAUAAAGGGUGAGAAUCCCGUCCAUGACACGGACUCCCGAUGCUAUGUGAUACGCUCUCAAAGAGUCGAGUUGUUUGGGAAUGCAGCUCAAAAUGGGUGGUAAAUUCCAUCUAAAGCUAAAUAUUGGCGAGAGACCGAUAGCGAACAAGUACCGUGAGGGAAAGAUGAAAAGCACUUUGGAAAGAGAGUUAAACAGUACGUGAAAUUGUUGAAAGGGAAACGCUUGAAGUCAGUCGCGUCGUACGGAGCUCAGCCUUGCUUCUGCUUGGUGUAUUCUCUGUGUCGACGGGUCAACGUCAAUUUCGGCCGGUGGAGAAGGGCUCAAGGAAUGUGGCGUCGUUUCGGCGACGUGUUAUAGCCUUGGGUCGUAUGCACCGACUGGGAUUGAGGACCGCAGCACGCCCUUGUGGCCGGGGGUUCGCCCUACGUUUCGUGCUUAGGAUGUUGGCAAAAUGGCUUUAAGCGACCCGUCUUGAAACACGGACCAAGGAGUCUAACAUGCCUGCGAGUGUUCGGGUGGAAAACCCUUGCGCGUAAUGAAAGUGAAAGUUGGGAUCCCUCGCAAGGGGGUGCACCGACGCCCGGCCCUGAAGUUCUCUGACGGUGCUGCGGUAGAGCAUGUAUGUUGGGACCCGAAAGAUGGUGAACUAUGCCUGAAUAGGGUGAAGCCAGAGGAAACUCUGGUGGAGGCUCGUAGCGAUUCUGACGUGCAAAUCGAUCGUCAAAUUUGGG